GGUUUUUCACUAAAUGAGUAAACAAAUGAGAGUAUAAUAUGGAGAAAAUAACCUAGAUGUACAACUUGUACAUUACUCAAAACCCCGACUAUAAAGCUCAAAAUCUCAAAGAGUAAACCGGUAAACAAAACCCUAAAUCUCAUAAAGUACUCACAAAAGGGGUAUAAAAUACGCUCCAUAAUUACCAUGAAAAACUCUCACAAAAACUCAUAUAUAUGUAACUAUAUCUUGUUGCUCUAAAAAAAAUCUUUGCUGAUUGGCCUAUCAAAACAUGGGUUUAAAUAGGCCAAAUUUAGAGUUCUAAUUAUACUUCAAAUAUUCAUAAAGUAAUCAGAGUUGAUGCAAUCCGGCUCAGUAGGUUGAGUCGAGUUGUCUUAAUUGUCCGAUCGUCGACGAGAAAGUAUCGCUCCAAAAUAAUGGUUGGUUUGUAAUCGGCUAAAUAUGAAGUAAAGUGAUGGAAAAAGGUUCAAAAAUAGGUUAAGUUUGAUAUGGAUAGGUUCGGCUAACAAUAAAAAUAUGAUAGAUAAUUUGAUGGAUAGAUGGAAUGGAAAUUCGGACUUAAGCGUCAAGAAUGAUCCAACACUAUAGAGAGUGUCGUCCCGAGACUUAUAUUGCUUAAGGUGAUUGAUGGAAAUAGAAAGAUGGACCUCGACCCGUUACUUAGAAAAGUAGGAAUCCAAGGUAUAAAAAGAUGGACGAACGCCACACCAAGAUUGGUGAUAAGUUUGGAAGGAGUUCGGUUGACGCCACUAGCACGCUAGAUAAGUCAAUUCGAGACUCACACGAAAUAUGAGAGGGAGAACCUCACAAGAACAAUAGUUCAUUAAUAAAUUUGGCAAAAGUCCUUUUACAAUGAAAAUAAACAACUAUUUAUAGCCUAUGCACUAGCUAGCCGAAUGGUCACCAAUAAGUCUUUAAAAACUAAGUAAAAUUCAGCUAGAAUAGGCUGGAAAAUUCCAGAAUAAAAACCAUUAAAAUCCUUAGCAAGAUUCGACUGAAUGGAGUCCAAAAGACAGCUUCUAGAAUGGGCAAAUGAACCUGGAAAGAUCAAUGGUGCAUGGCAGCAGCUAGGUUCGGCUAAUUGAGCUUAAAUGAGCUCAUUAAAAUGCAAUUCUUGGCUGCAAAGAUACCAGCAUUAAAGGAGGACGUGAACAGCCUUGAAAGUGUGAAAAGUCAGCUUCUAGAUUGAGCAAUAAUCUUGGAAAGAUGAAUCCUUGAGGGAGGCUAAUGGCCAU
Molecule: long non-coding RNA, 1235 nt
Filed under: Gossypium raimondii (Peruvian cotton)
Lineage: Eukaryota; Viridiplantae; Streptophyta; Magnoliopsida; Malvales; Malvaceae
Description: long non-coding RNA (GRAI_LNC009238)
Source: RNAcentral